AUUGAACGCUGGCGGCAUGCCUUACACAUGCAAGUCGAACGGCAGCACGGGGGCAACCCUGGUGGCGAGUGGCGAACGGGUGAGUAAUACAUCGGAACGUGCCCCGUAGCGGGGGACGAACCAGUCGAAAGACUGGCUAAUACCGCAUACGCUCCACGGAGGAAAGCAGGGGAUCGCAAGACCUUGCACUAUGGGAGCGGCCGAUGCCCGAUUAGCUAGUUGGUGAGGUAAAGGCUCACCAAGGCAACGAUCGGUAGCUGGUCUGAGAGGACGACCAGCCACACUGGGACUGAGACACGGCCCAGACUCCGUACGGGAGGCAGCAGGUGGGGUAAUUUUGGACAAUGGGCGCAAGCCUGAUCCA
RNAcentral lists this ribosomal RNA (364 nucleotides) under uncultured bacterium. RNAcentral describes it as "bacterial SSU rRNA". It matches the Rfam family "Bacterial small subunit ribosomal RNA", at positions 29 to 390 of the family's 1533-position model. The record is from RNAcentral.